CCUACGGGAGGCAGCAGUGGGGGAUAUUACACAAUGGGGGGAACCCUGAUGCAGCGACGCCGCGUGGGUGAAGAAGCGCCUCGGCGCGUAAAGCCCUGUCAGCAGGGAAGAAAAUGACGGUACCUGAAGAAGAAGCCCCGGCUAACUACGUGCCAGCAGACGCGGGAAUACGUAGGGGGCAAGCGUUAUCCGGAUUUACUGGGUGUAAAGGGGGCGCAGAUGGCGAUGCAAGCCAGGAGUGAAAGCCCGGGGCCCAACCCCGGGACUGCUCUUGGAACUGCGUGGCUGGAGUGCAGGAGGGGCAGGCGGAAUUCCUGGUGUAGCGGUGAAAUGCGUAGAUAUCAGGAGGAACACCGGUGGCGAAGGCGGCCUGCUGGACUGCAACUGACGUUGAGGCCCGAAAGCGUGGGGAGCAAACAGGAUUAGAUACCCGUGUAGUC
Molecule: ribosomal RNA, 440 nt
Filed under: uncultured bacterium
Lineage: Bacteria
Description: partial 16S ribosomal RNA
Rfam family: Bacterial small subunit ribosomal RNA
Source: RNAcentral